Oreochromis niloticus (Nile tilapia) is the source of this 1278-nucleotide long non-coding RNA. RefSeq lists it as uncharacterized. Lineage: Eukaryota; Metazoa; Chordata; Actinopteri; Cichliformes; Cichlidae. The transcript has 5 exons. The record is from RefSeq and is a predicted model, not a curated record.
UCACUUCAGCCUAAGAGAGAGCAAAAUCUUUUUCUACCAGCUAAAAGGAGGUGAAAGUUUUGGUCCCCUCACACCGCGGAUCGCCUUUACUUUGUCUAAUUGGGGUGUUUUGAGCCUCAUCGCUACACCCGAAGUGCAGAAGAGCCUGCGGGAAACGAGCUCGCAACAACCGAGAACCAGGGAUCAACAACAACUCGCGUCGCUUUCCCUAUGUGCAUAUCACUCGACUCUCAUUUAAGCCAGAUGUGUUAACCUGAUCCCUGCGAAACACCAGCUCUCCGUGGAUUUUGACCGCGAGUGACCGGAUGUUGUUUCCGGCCUGAGGUUGCCUGAAAUGCCGUGAGGCUCGUUUGAAAGAUUGCGCCCGAGACCAACUCCGCCUCCAAGGCGUGCCUACCUUUAGCUGCCACCAGUGAGAUAUCAGAGCCGGGCUCCACAUAUCCAAUCAGGAGCACGAGCAAGACAGCUUUUGCAGACUCUCCAGAAAUAUACAAGUCCUUACCAACUGCUCUGCAACCCAGUGUUUCUGGUCCCCUCACCAACAUCGCUUUUUGAGAUAUUUUUUUUACGAACCACCAAAAAAGCAAUUUUACCCCCCAGUACAGAAGACUGGAUCUGAGGGCAGCAGCGGGGACAAAUGAUUGUAAUGAAGCGACAGACAUUUCAUGGCUGGUCUUAGAUAAUUGUGAGUCAUUGUGUCUUAUGGUGAAAAGUACAUAGUUUUGCAAGAGGCAUACAAGCACUGUGGAAAAAGUAAUCAUAAAACUGUUUUUGUGAACACUUUGCUCCCUACGUUAUGCUUUUAAAAUUUGAUACAUGUAAUGUGAUCAUCAAAGAACAUGUUCUUUUUAAAAACACUCAUUCUUAUGCUUUUAAACUAUGUCAGAUUAUCAUAAAACACUUAUUUGUAUGUUAUAAUGUUUUUCUUACACCAUGUGUAAUUUUCAUUCACACCUUGUUCAUUGUAUCAAUGUGUAAUUAUGUAUCUUUGAUAAAUAAAUAAAAUAUUUAAUCCUGUAUUUGUGUACUUUCUGGUGAUUCAAUAAAAAAUUAGUCACAUAUCGCUCUGAUAAACACAGAUGGCUGAAAGAAAUGUUUGAUGGAGCAAAGGAAACAAGUGUCUUGCUGCUAAACUUUUAAGUCACCAUGGUUUAAAUGAGAAAAUGCCACUAGGAAACUAGCAGCCCUAAGUCUUUAUGUAAAACAUGAAAAACUCCAUAUCAGUGAUAUCUACAAAGGUGUACUCAUUUCUUUGUUAUGGUACUUUACUGUUCCAAU